This 468-nucleotide ribosomal RNA is filed under the name uncultured bacterium. Its description in RNAcentral is "partial 16S ribosomal RNA". It matches the Rfam family "Bacterial small subunit ribosomal RNA", at positions 28 to 507 of the family's 1533-position model. The record is from RNAcentral.
GACGAACGCUGGCGGCGUGCUUAACACAUGCAAGUCGAACGGCAAGGCCCUGCUUUUGUGGGGUUCUCGAGUGGCGAACGGGUGAGUAACACGUGUGUAUCCUGCCCUUGACUUUGGGAUAGCUUCAGGAAACUGGGGUUAAGACCGUAUCGCAGCCCCUGCUCCAUGGUGGGGGUUGGAAAUUUUCGGCGGGUGCGGAUGGACUCGCGGCUAAUCAGCUUGUUGGUGGGGUAGGGGCUUACCAAGGCUUUGACGGGUAGCCGGCCUGUGAGGGUGACCGGCCACAUUGGUACUGAGAUACGGACCAGACUCCUACGGGAGGCAGCAGGGGGGAAUAUUGCACAGUGGGCGGAAGCCUGAUGCAGCAACGCCGCGUGCGUGAUGACGGCCUUCGGGUUGUAAACCGCUUUCGCCUGUGACGAAGCGUGAGUGACGGUAAUGGGUAAAGAAGCACCGGCUAACUACGUG